UCUUGCCCAGUUUUUGCUUUACAGUGAUGGUUCUUCGCUGCAGAAAGUUAACUGAUAUUCUGAUAUUUUUUCUUAUCCCAAGCAUUGUUAAAAAUUAAAAAAUGAAUUAAAACAAGUAUAAUGACAAAGAGAAACCAAAAGCGACAAAAAUACAACAGGUUACUUUCUAGGGAAUUUUCGUGAAAAUCCUUUUGCUUUAUAAGCAGAUGAGCACUUGUGUUAUAAUUUACCAAUAAAUUAUAGUAAAUAACACAAAUCCGGGAAAAAAUAUUUAUAAUCACGAAACAAGGAAAUUGUAAAGACCAAUGUCCACAAAUGAUACCUGUUUCUCAAAUCUUCAAAGGAAGGUUUUAACAAAUGGUUAUGGAUAAAACAGGUAAGUCUCGCAACCAAAACAAUUUUGCAAUGGAUCUUAGGUACUAGGGCUGGAAGAUUGCUCGCGUUUGUCUAGUGUAUUGUCAUGGUUAGUGUACCGUAUUACCUAGUGCCAAGUAAGGAAAUCCGAGGCAUCGUUAUAAUCAUAUGCCACACGAUUUUGAGUGCCAAGUGUAAUAGAAAGUAUUGUACUUGUAACUUACAAACUUAUUUAAACAAGUUAGCUUUAAAGCUUUAAGCUGAUGUCUUUCUGUUUUUUUUUAUACGUCGAAAAACAAAUGUUUUUCCUUCAGCUGGUACAUAAAAAAGCAGCUAAUUGCUCUUCUUUUACAAGAUGAUUUUAUUUUUGUAUUUCUCAAAAUCGUGCCAAAUGGCAUGCCACACAUAUUCAAAUUAUUGGAAAGUAUUAUUACUAACUGGCUCUACAAACUAUUUGGAUAGGAUAGUGAUGCAUGUCAUAAGAUCACUUUCAUGCAAUAACAAUACUAAUCCAAUUCGUUCUUUUGUAUUCACUUUGUUCUUGUUCGUUUUUUACCUUCUUUCCUUUCAAUAUAGAUGUGUGAUGAUGAAUGAGAGAUGCAAGAAGCUUAGCUCAAACACAAUCCUGAAAGAGUAAAGUACUCAACAUAAAAUAAUGCAUUUAUACAUUUCGUACCUUUAUCAAUCUAUUAUGCAACAAUAAAAGCAUUUUAUCCAAAAGAAAACAAGUUGUCUUAAUACUUGAAAAGAUCAAUAGAUUUACUUUUAGUUUGGUUUUCUAAAAAGAGAAUCACACUUGAUAAGAAAUUGAUUGCCUCGAAUAACUCAAAACUAA
Non-coding RNA from Schizosaccharomyces pombe (fission yeast), 1189 nucleotides. Lineage: Eukaryota; Fungi; Ascomycota; Schizosaccharomycetes; Schizosaccharomycetales; Schizosaccharomycetaceae. The record is from the annotation of a GenBank genome assembly.